RNAcentral lists this ribosomal RNA (1224 nucleotides) under uncultured bacterium. RNAcentral describes it as "bacterial SSU rRNA". It matches the Rfam family "Bacterial small subunit ribosomal RNA", at positions 246 to 1482 of the family's 1533-position model. The record is from RNAcentral.
UUGUUGGUGAGGUAACUGCUCACCAAGGCUUUGAUGUUUAGGGGGUCUGAGAGGAUGGUCCCCCACACUGGUACUGAGACACGGACCAGACUCCUACGGGAGGCAGCAGUGAGGAAUAUUGGGCAAUGGGUGCAAGCCUGACCCAGCCAUGCCGCGUGCAGGAUUGAAAGCUUUUUAGUUGUAAACUGCUUUUCUGCAGGAAGAAACCCAUUGACGUGUCAAUGGUUGACGGUACUGUAGGAAUAAGGAUCGGCUAACUCCGUGCCAGCAGCCGCGGUAAUACGGAGGAUCCAAGCGUUAUCCGGAUUCACUGGGCUUAAAGGGUGCGUAGGCGGGGCAAUAAGUCAGUGGUGAAAGCCUGCAGCUUAACUGUAGAAGUGCCAUUGAUACUGUUGUUCUUGAGUUCAGAUGGAGUGGGCGGAAUGUGUUAUGUAGCGGUGAAAUGCAUAGAUAUAACACAGAACACCGAUCGCGUAGGCAGCUCACUAAACUGAUACUGACGCUGAGGUACGAAAGCGUGGGGAGCGAACAGGAUUAGAUACCCUGGUAGUCCACGCUGUAAACGUUGAUUACUAGAUGUAUGCUAUUUAUUGCAUGUGUCAAAGCGAAAGCAUUAAGUAAUCCGCCUGGGGAGUACGAUCGCAAGGUUUAAACUCAAAGGAAUUGACGGGGGCCCGCACAAGCGGAGGAACAUGUGGUUUAAUUCGAUGCUACGCGAGGAACCUUACCUGGGCUUAAAUGUAGUAGGUCCAUCCUGGAAACAGGAUUCUCUUCGGAGCAAGCUACAAGGUGUUGCAUGGCUGUCGUCAGCUCGUGCCGUGAGGUGUAGGAUUAAGUUCCGUAACGAGCGCAACCCCUAUUGUUAGUUGCCAGUUCCAUUAGGAAGGGACUCUAACGAAACUGCCAGUGAAAACUGGAGGAAGGUGGGGAUGACGUCAAGUCAGUACGGCCCUUAUGCCCAGGGCUACACACGUGUUACAAUGGCUAGUACAACGGGUUGCUACCUCGUGAGAGGACGCUAAUCUCUAAAACUAGUCUCAGUUCGGAUUGAAGUCUGCAAUUCGACUUCAUGAAGUAGGAUUCGCUAGUAAUCGCGCAUCAGCCAUGGCGCGGUGAAUACGUUCCCGGGCCUUGUACACACUGCCCGUCAAGCCAUGGAAGCCGGGGGUAUUUGAAGUUCGUAACCGCAAGGAGCGAACAAGGGUAAAUCCGGUGACUGGGGCU